AGCAGCCGCGGUAAUUCCAGCUCCAAUAGCGUAUAUUAAAGUUGUUGCAGUUAAAAAGCUCGUAGUUGAAUUUCGAGACCGGUCUACUGGUCGUGCUUUUUGUACGUACUGGUAUAAUCGGUUUCUCUCUUCUGACGAACUAUAAUGCCAUUAAUUUGGUGUUUUAGGGAAUCAGGACUGUUACUUUGAAAAAAUUAGAGUGUUUAAAGCAGGCUCACGCUUGAAUACAUUAGCAUGGAAUAACGAAAUAGGACGUUUGAUUUUAUUUUGUUGGUUUCUAGGAUCGACGUAAUGAUUAAUAGGGAUAGUUGGGGGCAUUAGUAUUCAAUUGUCAGAGGUGAAAUUCUUGGAUUUAUUGAAGACUAACUACUGCGAAAGCAUUUGCCAAGGAUGUUUUCAUUAAUCAAGAACGAAAGUUAGGGGAUCGAAGACGAUCAGAUACCGUCGUAGUCUUAACCAUAAACUAUGCCGACUAGGGAUCGGAUGAUGUUAAAUUAAUGACUCAUUUCGGCACCUUACG
This 520-nucleotide ribosomal RNA is filed under the name uncultured Glomus. RNAcentral's name for it is "SSU rRNA". It matches the Rfam family "Eukaryotic small subunit ribosomal RNA", at positions 569 to 1092 of the family's 1831-position model. Lineage: Eukaryota; Fungi; Glomeromycota; Glomeromycetes; Glomerales; Glomeraceae. The record is from RNAcentral.